UAGCUCAGCUGGGAGAGCGCCUGCUUUGCACGCAGGAGGUCUGCGGUUCGAUCCCGC
Molecule: transfer RNA, 57 nt
Filed under: Escherichia coli
Lineage: Bacteria; Pseudomonadati; Pseudomonadota; Gammaproteobacteria; Enterobacterales; Enterobacteriaceae
Also listed under: 6 other names
Description: tRNA-Ala
Rfam family: tRNA
About the family: Transfer RNA (tRNA) molecules are approximately 80 nucleotides in length. Their secondary structure includes four short double-helical elements and three loops (D, anti-codon, and T loops). Further hydrogen bonds mediate the characteristic L-shaped molecular structure. tRNAs have two regions of fundamental functional importance: the anti-codon, which is responsible for specific mRNA codon recognition, and the 3' end, to which the tRNAs corresponding amino acid is attached (by aminoacyl-tRNA synthetases). tRNAs cope with the degeneracy of the genetic code in two manners: having more than one tRNA (with a specific anti-codon) for a particular amino acid; and 'wobble' base-pairing, i.e. permitting non-standard base-pairing at the 3rd anti-codon position.
Source: RNAcentral